GACGAAGGUGGCGAGCGUUACUCGGAAUUACUAGGCGUAAAGCGCGAGCAGGCGGUUCGGUAAGUCCGUCGUGAAAGCCUUGGGCUCAACCCAGGGAGGCCGAUGGAUACUACCGGACUUGAAUGCGGGAGAGGUCACUGGAAUUCCUGGUGUAGCGGUGAAAUGCGUAGAUAUCAGGAGGAACACCAAAGGCGAGGGCAGGUGACUGGACCGUUAUUGACGCUGAGACGCGAAAGCCGGGGGAG
RNAcentral lists this ribosomal RNA (245 nucleotides) under uncultured bacterium. RNAcentral describes it as "partial 16S ribosomal RNA". It matches the Rfam family "Bacterial small subunit ribosomal RNA", at positions 524 to 768 of the family's 1533-position model. The record is from RNAcentral.